CCUACGGGAGGCUGCAGUGGGGAAUAUUGGACAAUGGGCGAAAGCCUGAUCCAGCCAUGCCGCGUGUGUGAAGAAGGCCUUCGGGUUGUAAAGCACUUUCAGUGGGGAAGAAAGCCUUGGGGCUAAUACCCUCGAGGAAGGACAUCACCCACAGAAGAAGCACCGGCUAACUCCGUGCCAGCAGCCGCGGUAAUACGGAGGGUGCGAGCGUUAAUCGGAAUUACUGGGCGUAAAGCGCGCGUAGGCGGUCUGAUAAGCCGGUUGUGAAAGCCCCGGGCUCAACCUGGGAACGGCAUCCGGAACUGUCAGGCUAGAGUACAGGAGAGGAAGGUAGAAUUCCCUGUGUAGCGGUGAAAUGCGUAGAGAUCGGGAGGAAUACCAGUGGCGAAGGCGGCCUUCUGGACUGACACUGACGCUGAGGUGCGAAAGCGUGGGUAGCAAACAGGAUUAGAUACCCUAGUAGUC
Molecule: ribosomal RNA, 465 nt
Filed under: Vreelandella stevensii
Lineage: Bacteria; Pseudomonadati; Pseudomonadota; Gammaproteobacteria; Oceanospirillales; Halomonadaceae
Description: partial 16S ribosomal RNA
Rfam family: Bacterial small subunit ribosomal RNA
Source: RNAcentral